CGCCCAGACUCCUACGGGAGGCAGCAGUGGGGAAUAUUGCACAAUGGGGGAAACCCUGAUGCAGCGACGCCGCGUGAGCGAAGAAGUAUUUCGGUCUGUAAAGCUCUAUCAGCAGGGAAGAAAUUGACGGUACCUGAGUAAGAAGCUCCGGCUAAAUACGUGCCAGCAGCCGCGGUAAUACGUAUGGAGCAAGCGUUAUCCGGAUUUACUGGGUGUAAAGGGAGCGUAGGCGGGCUGCCUAGUCUGAUGUGAAAUACCGGGGCUCAACCCCGGGGCUGCAGUGGAAACUGGCAGGCUGGAGUGUCGGAGAGGCAGGCGGAAUUCCUAGUGUAGCGGUGAAAUGCGUAGAUAUUAGGAGGAACACCAGUGGCGAAGGCGGCCUGCUGGACGACAACUGACGGUGAGGCGCGAAAGCGUGGGGAGCAAACAGGAUUAGAUACCCGCGUA
RNAcentral lists this ribosomal RNA (447 nucleotides) under uncultured bacterium. RNAcentral describes it as "partial 16S ribosomal RNA". It matches the Rfam family "Bacterial small subunit ribosomal RNA", at positions 328 to 792 of the family's 1533-position model. The record is from RNAcentral.